This is a ribosomal RNA of Danio rerio (zebrafish), 117 nucleotides long. NCBI's taxonomy places the organism in Eukaryota, Metazoa, Chordata, Actinopteri, Cypriniformes, Danionidae. The record is from Ensembl.
GGCCACAGCCAUGUCACCCCGCAGCCCAAGAUAGGUUACUCACUGAAGCUAAGCAGGACUGAGCCUGGUCAGUACCUGGAUGGGAGACCACAAGGGAAAACUAGGUUGCUGUAGGAA